CAGUAGCCACGGUAAUACAGAGGAUGCAAGCGUUAUCCGGAAUGAUUGGGCGUAAAGCGUCUGUAGGUGGCUUUUCAAGUCCGCCGUCAAAUCCCAGGGCUCAACCCUGGACAGGCGGUGGAAACUACCAAGCUGGAGUACCGUAGGGGGACCUGGAACUUCCGGUGGAGCGGUGAAAUGCGUUGAGAUCGGAAGGAACGCCCGUGGCGAAAGCGAGGUCCUGGACGUCUGCUGUCGCUGAGACGCGAAAGCCAGGGGAGCGAACGGGAUUAGAUACCCCAGUAGUCCCUGUCUCUUAUAC
Molecule: ribosomal RNA, 301 nt
Filed under: uncultured bacterium
Lineage: Bacteria
Description: partial 16S ribosomal RNA
Rfam family: Bacterial small subunit ribosomal RNA
Source: RNAcentral